CAGCAAAUAGUUUAAAAAAAUAUUAAUUUUGGAGAUUAAAGAUGGUUAACUAUUAAUCUUUGCUGA
This 66-nucleotide transfer RNA is filed under the name Aphelocheirus jendeki. RNAcentral's name for it is "tRNA-Pro". Lineage: Eukaryota; Metazoa; Arthropoda; Insecta; Hemiptera; Aphelocheiridae. The record is from RNAcentral.